Vigna angularis (adzuki bean) is the source of this 74-nucleotide non-coding RNA. Lineage: Eukaryota; Viridiplantae; Streptophyta; Magnoliopsida; Fabales; Fabaceae. The record is from the annotation of a RefSeq genome assembly.
GGGGUGGUGGCGCAGUUUGCUAGCGCGUAGGUCUCAUAAUCCUGAGGUCGAGAGUUCGAGCCUCUCUCACCCCA